RNAcentral lists this long non-coding RNA (300 nucleotides) under Lepeophtheirus salmonis (salmon louse). RNAcentral's name for it is "uncharacterized LOC121123347". Lineage: Eukaryota; Metazoa; Arthropoda; Copepoda; Siphonostomatoida; Caligidae. The record is from RNAcentral.
UUUUUUAAGACAUUGUCUCUUCUCCAAAAAAACAACCCAAAAAAAAACCUCUUCAUUUUGUCCAACGGUGUGGGCAUCCAUAAAUGACACACAAACUGUAUUUUAUAUAUACAUAUUCUUAAAUCGGCGAGUAGAAUUUCAUCUAUGUAAUUAUGUGAAUUAAUUAUCAAUUAUGUGGCAAGCAUACGAACGUAUCGACGAAUUGUAUCCAUAAUUAUUCAAUCCUACGUAUAUUCAUUGUUUGGACUUGUAUUGUGAAGUAGGAGUUAGCUAGAGAAAUAAAAUAUAAACAAAUAUUUA